This 420-nucleotide ribosomal RNA is filed under the name uncultured Nitrososphaerota archaeon. RNAcentral describes it as "bacterial SSU rRNA". It matches the Rfam family "Archaeal small subunit ribosomal RNA", at positions 459 to 879 of the family's 1478-position model. The record is from RNAcentral. Lineage: Archaea; Thermoproteati; Nitrososphaerota.
CAGCCGCCGCGGUAAUACCAGCACCCCGAGUGGUCGGGACGUUUAUUGGGCCUAAAGCAUCCGUAGCCGGUUCUACAAGUCUUCCGUUAAAUCCACCUGCUUAACAGAUGGGCUGCGGAAGAUACUAUAGAGCUAGGAGGCGGGAGAGGCAAGCGGUACUCGAUGGGUAGGGGUAAAAUCCGUUGAUCCAUUGAAGACCACCUGUGGCGAAGGCGGUGUACCAGAACACGUUCGACGGUGAGGGAUGAAAGCUGGGGGAGCAAACCGGAUUAGAUACCCGGGUAGUCCCAGCUGUAAACGAUGCAGACUCGGUGAUGCAUUGGCUUGUGGCCAAUGCAGUGCCGCAGGGAAGCCGUUAAGUCUGCCGCCUGGGAAGUACGUACGCAAGUAUGAAACUUAAAGGAAUUGGCGGGGGAGCAC